Molecule: ribosomal RNA, 503 nt
Filed under: uncultured bacterium
Lineage: Bacteria
Description: bacterial SSU rRNA
Rfam family: Bacterial small subunit ribosomal RNA
Source: RNAcentral
UAGUCCACGCCGUAAACGAUGGUCACUAGUUGUUGGGGCUUUAUGCCUCAGUGAUUAAGCGAAAGUGAUAAGUGACCCACCUGGGGAGUACGAUCGCAAGAUUGGAACUCAAAGGAAUUGACGGGGGCCCGCACAAGCGGAGGAACAUGUGGUUUAAUUCGAUGAUACGCGAGGAACCUUACCUGGGCUUAAAUGUAGGAUGCAUAAGGUGGAAACACUUUUUUCCUUCGGGACUUCUUACAAGGUGCUGCAUGGUUGUCGUCAGCUCGUGCCGUGAGGUGUCGGGUUAAGUCCCAUAACGAGCGCAACCCCUACCGUUAGUUGCCAUCAGGUCAUGCUGGGGACUCUAGCGGGACUGCCACCGUAAGGUGAGAGGAAGGUGGGGAUGACGUCAAAUCAGCACGGCCCUUAUGUCCAGGGCUACACACGUGUUACAAUGGCAGGUACAAAGGGCAGCUACACAGCAAUGUGAUGCUAAUCUCUAAAGCCUGUCCCAGUUCGGA